CACGUAGGAUGCAAGCGUUAUUCGGAUUUACUGGGCGUAAAGCGCGUGUAGGCGGUUGGGAUAGUUGGAUGUGAAAGCUCCCGGCUUAACUGGGAGAGGUCGUUCAAAACUUCCCAACUAGAGUUUGGUAGAGGAAAAUGGAAUUCCGGGUGUAGUGGUGAAAUGCGUAGAUAUCCGGAGGAACACCAGUGGCGAAAGCGAUUUUCUGGACCGAUACUGACGCUCAGACGCGAAAGCUAGGGUAGCAAACGGGAUUAGAAACCCUAGUAGUCC
This 273-nucleotide ribosomal RNA is filed under the name uncultured prokaryote. RNAcentral's name for it is "partial 16S ribosomal RNA". It matches the Rfam family "Bacterial small subunit ribosomal RNA", at positions 524 to 796 of the family's 1533-position model. The record is from RNAcentral.